UACGAAGGGUGCAAACGUUGCUCGGAAUUAUUGGGCGUAAAGCGCACGUAGGCGGCUUGGCAAGUCGGAUGUGAAAUCCCUCGGCUCAACCAAGGAAGUGCAUCCGAAACUGCUGAGCUUGAGUACGAAAGAGGAUCGCGGAAUUCCCGGUGUAGAGGUGAAAUUCGUAGAUAUCGGGAGGGACACCAGUGGCGAAGGCGGCGAUCUGGGUCGAUACUGACGCUGAGGUGCGAAAGCGUGGGGAGCAAACAGG
Molecule: ribosomal RNA, 253 nt
Filed under: uncultured bacterium
Lineage: Bacteria
Description: partial 16S ribosomal RNA
Rfam family: Bacterial small subunit ribosomal RNA
Source: RNAcentral